This is a long non-coding RNA of Ostrinia furnacalis (Asian corn borer), 214 nucleotides long. RefSeq lists it as uncharacterized. The transcript has 3 exons. The record is from RefSeq and is a predicted model, not a curated record. NCBI's taxonomy places the organism in Eukaryota, Metazoa, Arthropoda, Insecta, Lepidoptera, Crambidae.
CAACUACAGUCGGGUCCAACUGCAGGAUGAUAUUCAUACACAAGUUGAUAUAGCCACUAAUGUGGGCAUGCAAGGUGAUGCUUCUUUCAAUGAACAUGAAUAUUCAUUACCAUCAACUAGCCAAACAGCUGUUUCUAACUACCAGAGUAAAGAUGAUCAAUCUUCACUGGUUGCAAGCCAAACACUACAGACUUCAGAAUUGCUGGAUAGUGGU